This 465-nucleotide ribosomal RNA is filed under the name uncultured bacterium. RNAcentral describes it as "partial 16S ribosomal RNA". It matches the Rfam family "Bacterial small subunit ribosomal RNA", at positions 339 to 795 of the family's 1533-position model. The record is from RNAcentral.
CUACGGGAUGCACCAGUGGGGAAUAUUGGACAAUGGGGGAAACCCUGAUCCAGCAAUGCCGCGUGUGUGAAGAAGGCCUGCGGGUUGUAAAGCACUUUCGGUUGGGAGGACUGCUUCUAGCACUAAUAUUGUUGGAAGUUGACGUUACCUUCAGAAGAAGCACCGGCUAACUCCGUGCCAGCAGCCGCGGUAAUACGGAGGGUGCAAGCGUGAAUCGGAAUUACUGGGCGUAAAGCGCGCGUAGGCGGCUAGAUCAGUCGGGUGUGAAAGCCCCGGGCUUAACCUGGGAACUGCAUCCGAUACUGUCUAGCUUGAGUACAGGAGAGGAGAGUGGAAUUCCACAUGUAGCGGUGAAAUGCGUAGAUAUGUGGAGGAACACCAAUGGCGAAGGCAGCUCUCUGGCCUGAUACUGACGCUGAGUUGCGAAAGCGUGGGGAGCAAACAGGAUUAGAUACCCCCGUAGUC